Molecule: ribosomal RNA, 222 nt
Filed under: uncultured prokaryote
Description: partial 16S ribosomal RNA
Rfam family: Bacterial small subunit ribosomal RNA
Source: RNAcentral
ACGUAGGAGGCGAGCGUUAUCCGGAUUCACUGGGCGUAAAGCGCGUGCAGGUGGCUUGGUAAGUUAGGCGUGAAGUCUCCCGGCUCAACUGGGAGAGGUCGUCUAAUACUACCGGGCUAGAGAGCAGAAGAGGAAGAUGGAAUUCCCGGUGUAGUGGUGAAAUGCGUAGAUAUCGGGAGGAACACCAGUGGCGAAGGCGAUCUUCUGGUCUGUUUCUGACAC